GAUGAACGCUAGCGGCAGGCCUAAUACAUGCAAGUCGGACGGGAUUGAGCUUUCGGGCUCAUGAGAGUGGCGCACGGGUGCGUAACACGUAUGUAACCUACCUUUAUCAGGGGGAUAGCCUCUCGAAAGAGAGAUUAACACCGCAUAACAUCACGAGGCAGCAUUGUUUUGUGAUCAAAUAUUUUUAGGAUAAAGAUGGGCAUGCGGGACAUUAGCUAGUUGGCGGGGUAACGGCCCACCAAGGCGACGAUGUCUAGGGGAUCUGAGAGGAUGACCCCCCCCACUGGUACUGCGACACGGACCAGACUCCUACGGGAGGCAGCAGUAAGGAAUAUUGGUCAAUGGGCGCAAGCCUGAACCAGCCAUGCCGCGUGCAGGAAGACGGCCCUAUGGGUUGUAAACUGCUUUUGUACCGGAAUAAACCUUGAUACGUGUAUCAAGCUGAAUGUACGGUAAGAAUAAGGAUCGGCUAACUCCGUGCCAGCCGCCGCCGUAA
This 496-nucleotide ribosomal RNA is filed under the name uncultured bacterium. Its description in RNAcentral is "partial 16S ribosomal RNA". It matches the Rfam family "Bacterial small subunit ribosomal RNA", at positions 28 to 523 of the family's 1533-position model. The record is from RNAcentral.